Molecule: ribosomal RNA, 508 nt
Filed under: uncultured bacterium
Lineage: Bacteria
Description: partial 16S ribosomal RNA
Rfam family: Bacterial small subunit ribosomal RNA
Source: RNAcentral
GAUGAACGCUAGCGGCAGGCCUAACACAUGCAAGUCGAGGGGUAGCAGGAUUAAGCUUGCUUAAUUGCUGACGACCGGCGCACGGGUGCGUAACGCGUAUGCAACCUACCUUAUACUGGGGUAUAGCCCGGAGAAAUUCGGAGUAAUCCCCCAUAGUACUAAUGAAUCGCAUGGGUUAUUAGUUAAAGCAUUGCGGUAUAAGAUGGGCAUGCGUCCUAUUAGGUAGAUGGUGAGGUAACGGCUCACCAUGGCUACGAUAGGUAGGGGGCCUGAGAGGGUGGUCCCCCACACUGGUACUGAGACACGGACCAGACUCCUACGGGAGGCAGCAGUGAGGAAUAUUGGUCAAUGGGCGCAAGCCUGAUCCAGCCAUUCCGCGUGCAGGAUGAAGGCCCUCGGGUUGUAAACUGCUUUUGUACAGAACGAAAAGGUUUCUACUAAUACUAGGAGCUCAUGACGGUACUGUAAGAAUAAGCACCGGCUAACUACGUGCCAGCAGCCGCCGUAA